RNAcentral lists this ribosomal RNA (160 nucleotides) under Anethum sanguineum. RNAcentral's name for it is "Foeniculum sanguineum 5.8S ribosomal RNA". It matches the Rfam family "5.8S ribosomal RNA". Rfam says of the family: 5.8S ribosomal RNA (5.8S rRNA) is a component of the large subunit of the eukaryotic ribosome. The record is from RNAcentral. Lineage: Eukaryota; Viridiplantae; Streptophyta; Magnoliopsida; Apiales; Apiaceae.
CGACUCUCGACAACGGAUAUCUCGGCUCUCGCAUCGAUGAAGAACGUAGCGAAAUGCGAUACUUGGUGUGAAUUGCAGAAUCCCGUGAACCAUCGAGUCUUUGAACGCAAGUUGCGCCCGAAGCCAAUAGGCCGAGGGCACGUCUGCCUGGGUGUCACAC